RNAcentral lists this ribosomal RNA (254 nucleotides) under uncultured bacterium. RNAcentral describes it as "partial 16S ribosomal RNA". It matches the Rfam family "Bacterial small subunit ribosomal RNA", at positions 524 to 776 of the family's 1533-position model. The record is from RNAcentral.
CACGUAGGGUGCGAGCGUUGUCCGGAAUUAUUGGGCGUAAAGAGCUCGUAGGCGGUGUGUCACGUCGGCCGUGAAAACCUACAGCUUAACUGUGGGCGUGCGGUCGAUACGGGCAUCACUGGAGUUCGGCAGGGGAGACUGGAAUUCCUGGUGUAGCGGUGAAAUGCGCAGAUAUCAGGAGGAACACCGGUGGCGAAGGCGGGUCUCUGGACAGUUCCUGACGCUGAGGCACGAAGGUCAGGGGAGCAAACGGG